Molecule: long non-coding RNA, 683 nt
Filed under: Homo sapiens (human)
Lineage: Eukaryota; Metazoa; Chordata; Mammalia; Primates; Hominidae
Description: HSALNT0024510
Source: RNAcentral
AAGCCUAGUCCCUAGAUCAUUCCUCUAUUUACACUCUCUCCUUGGUGAUCUCAUUUAGGUUUAUGGCUGCUAAACACCAUCUAUUCAUUGACUGACAUCCAGACCUCUCCCCUAUUUCAGAUUUGUAUAUCCAACUGCCUACCUGAAAUCUCCAAGUGGAUGUCUCACAGGCAGCUCAAACUUAACAAAUCCAAAUUUGACUAUAACUUUGUCUCAGACUUGCUCCUCCUCCAGCUGUCCACAGGUCAGUAAAUGGCAACUCCAUUUUUAUAAUUCCAAAUCUUGUAGUCAUCCAAAAGCUCAUAUCUUCUCAAUACCACAUAUCCAAUACUGCAGCAAAUCCUGUUAGCUUUAUCUUCAAAAUACAUCCAGAACCUGACCGCUUCUCAUCAUUUCCACUGCUAUCACCCUGGUUUAAAUCACCAUAAUGUCUUAUUUGGAUUACUACGAUAAUCACGUAAUAAGGCUUCUGCAACAUAUCAGGCUCCCUCAACACAUGCCCUUAACUCCUCUGUUCAAAACCUCCCUGUGAGUUUUAUUCCACCCAGUCUAAGAGCAAACACUCAUUAUAAUUGCUUUCAAGGCUCUACAAGAAUUCUACUUCUAAUGUGAAAAAAAAUUUGGGAAUGCUCAAGGUGGCAUGUUUGUAAAAGUAAAUAAUUGGAAAUAGCUAAACAUCCAUC